Small nucleolar RNA from Hemicordylus capensis (graceful crag lizard), 96 nucleotides. RefSeq annotates it as Z30 small nucleolar RNA. The record is from RefSeq and is a predicted model, not a curated record. NCBI's taxonomy places the organism in Eukaryota, Metazoa, Chordata, Lepidosauria, Squamata, Cordylidae. The transcript has a single exon.
GGCCAUGAUGAGCGAAGUCUAGUCUGGCCUGGUAUUGCCCCGACUGCGGUUGGGACUCUGACCAGGACGUGAUCAGGUCUUCUUCUCUCCGAGCCG